AGGAUAAACGCUGGCGGCGUGCCUAACACAUGCAAGUCGAACGAGAAAGUGGAGCAAUCCAUGAGUAAAGUGGCGCACGGGUGAGUAACACGUGACUAACCUACCCUUGAGUGGGGAAUAACUUCGGGAAACCGAGGCUAAUACCGCAUAACACCUACGGGUCAAAGGAGCAAUUCGCUUAAGGAGGGGGUCGCGGCAGAUUAGUUAGUUGGCGGGGUAAUGGCCCACCAAGACAGUGAUCUGUAU
This 246-nucleotide ribosomal RNA is filed under the name uncultured bacterium. Its description in RNAcentral is "partial small subunit ribosomal RNA". It matches the Rfam family "Bacterial small subunit ribosomal RNA", at positions 26 to 286 of the family's 1533-position model. The record is from RNAcentral.